UGAAAGGAUAGGAGGCUUUAAUAGGGCUGAGAUUCAAAAUGCAGGUUGUGAGUGAAGCUGAGCUUUGGAAGGAACUAAGCAGACAUAGAGCAAGAAGCUCAGCUGUGCAUCCAGCUGUGUGCCGGGGUUCCUCAGGUACACGUGCACUUAAACCAUGGGCCUGCUGGUGCCCUUAUGUCAGAAGGGAUCCGAGCUGGAGUCACUCUGAAGGCAUAAG
Anas platyrhynchos (mallard) is the source of this 217-nucleotide non-coding RNA. The record is from RefSeq and is a predicted model, not a curated record. Lineage: Eukaryota; Metazoa; Chordata; Aves; Anseriformes; Anatidae.